Molecule: long non-coding RNA, 776 nt
Organism: Ipomoea nil (Japanese morning glory)
Lineage: Eukaryota; Viridiplantae; Streptophyta; Magnoliopsida; Solanales; Convolvulaceae
Exons: 2
Source: RefSeq, a predicted model, not a curated record
UCCCAAGUCAGGCGUUUUCUCUCUUUCUUGUUCGCAGCAGUUUUUGGCGCAACUUGUUUCCGUCGACGUCUCCCCCGUCCGAUCACACACGUCUUGUUUAUUGGUUGCACAGGGUGGUCGGCGGCGGCUAGGGCUUUUCACACCAGGUGGUCGACGACGGUUUUGUGGUCUGAUUAAGUGGUCCGCGGCUCCUAGGGUUUCUCUAUGUUCCCUUCAGUCACGCUUGGCAUUCACGCACUAUUUCGCUAUGGAGGAUUCCGGUCUCAGACAUUCUAAGUUUCGUGCAUGCAAGAAGUCGCGAUCUCCUCAGCCUAGUCGGGCCUAACCGCAAAUCAGGUUGAGCCAUAAUGACAAGCUCCUGAUUACGAUUUUGGGAUUGUGGUCUUCGUAUAAGGGAUGUGAAGGAGUGUACAUGAGGGAGAUCUUGAUGAGUGCCAUCAACGUGCAUCAAGCUCGAAACAUGAAGUCUGCAAGUGAUUAUGCUGUUGCUAUGCAGGAUAACCAUGUCAUCGUUCCUUCAAGUAGGGUCAGACUGUUCCUUUUAUUGUCUUUUUUAGGAUAUUAAAAUUUUUGCUAUAUGUUUUGCGCAUCAAGUAGUGGAUAUAUGCACAUAUUCCUCCCUAAUUGAGCUUGCACAGUUUUCACCAUGUUUGCACACAUGGUUAAGAAUGUACUCGCACACUCCGUAUUGCAUACUCAUGUGUACACACAUGGACACGUGAUUCACAUAUAUCAUAGUACUCAUUAAAUGCAAUAACAUUCCUAUUCUGUGUUUA